CCCUUAGAUGUUCUGGGCCGCACGCGCGCUACACUGAUUCAUGCAACAAGUUUUGUCCUUGGCUGAUAGGCCUGGGUAAUCUUUGAACGUGAAUCGUGAUGGGGAUAGAUGAUUGCAAUUAUUCAUCUUCAACGAGGAAUUCCUAGUAAACGCAAGUCAUCAGCUUGCAUUGAUUACGUCCCUGCCCUUUGUACACACCGCCCGUCGCACCUACCGAUUGAAUGGUCCGGUGAAAUCUUCGGAUCUGAGAGAUGUCUGAUUAAUUUCGGACGCCUUUUGGAGAAGUUGUUUAAACCUUACCAUUUAGAGGAAGGUGAAGUCGUAACA
This 327-nucleotide ribosomal RNA is filed under the name uncultured eukaryote. RNAcentral describes it as "partial 18S ribosomal RNA". It matches the Rfam family "Eukaryotic small subunit ribosomal RNA", at positions 1470 to 1796 of the family's 1831-position model. The record is from RNAcentral.